AGAGUUUGAUCCUGGCUCAGAACGAACGCUGGCGGCAGGCUUAACACAUGCAAGUCGAACGCCCCGCGAGGGGAGUGGCAGACGGGUGAGUAACGCGUGGGAACAUACCCUUUCCUGCGGAAUAGCUCCGGGAAACUGGAAUUAAUACCGCAUACGCCCUACGGGGGAAAGAUUUAUCGGGGAAGGAUUGGCCCGCGUUGGAUUAGCUAGUUGGUAGGGUAAUGGCCUACCAAGGCGAUGAUGGCUAGUCGGCCUGAGAGGGUGUACGACCACACUGGAACUUAGACACGGUCCAGACUCCUACGGGAGGCAGCAGUGAGGAAUAUUGCGCAAUGGGCGAAAGCCUGACGCAGCGACGCCGCGUGAAGGAUGAAGGUCUUCGGAUUGUAAACUUCUGUUAAGUGGGAAAAAAGACUCGUCUCUAAUACAGACGAGGGAUGAUUGUACCAUUAAAGAAAGCACCGGCUAACUUCGUGCCAGCAGCCGCGGUAAUACGAAGGGUGCUAGCGUUAUUCGGAAUUAUUGGGCGUAAAGGGCGCGUAGGUGGCAUGUUAAGUUUGCUGUUAAAUCUUCCAGCCUAACUGGAAAACUGCAGCAAAAACUGGCAAGCUAGAGUGUAAGAGAGAGAAGUGGAAUUCUCGGAGUAGCGGUAAAAUGCGUAGAUCUCGAGAGGAACACCGAUGGCGAACGCAGCUUCUUGGCUUACUACUGACACUGAGGCGCGAAAGCGUGGGGAGCAAACAGGAUUAGAUACCCUGGUAGUCCACGCUGUAAACGAUGAUCACUAGAUGUUAGUUCUGCUUAGCAGAAUUAGUGUCGCAGCUAACGCGUUAAGUGAUCCGCCUGGGAAGUACGGUCGCAAGGCUAAAACUCAAAGGAAUUGACGGGGGUCCGCACAAGCGGUGGAACAUGUGGCUUAAUUCGAUACUACGCGAGAAACCUUACCUAGGCUUGACAUGCUUUUGACAUCCGUGGAAACACGGCUUUCCAAGUUCGCUUGGACAAUUGCACAGGUGCUGCAUGGCUGUCGUCAGCUCGUGUCGUGAGAUGUUUGGUUAAGUCCUCUAACGAGCGCAACUCUUGCCGUUAGUUGCUAUCCUUCGGGAGCACUCUAGCGGGACUGCCUGGGAAACCAGGAGGAAGGUGGGAAUGACGUCAAGUCCUCAUGGCCCUUAUGUCUAGGGCUACACACGUGUUACAAUGGCUGGUACAGAGGGUCGCAAGCUCGCAAGAGUAAGCUAAUCCCAGAAAGCCAGUCUAAGUUCAGAUUGGAGUCUGCAACUCGACUCCAUGAAGUUGAAAUCGCUAGUAAUCGCGCAUCAUCACGGCGCGGUGAAUACGUUCUCGGACCUUGUACACACUGCCCGUCACACCAUGAGAGCUGAUUGUACCCAAAGGCGCUUUAGCUAACCAGCAAUGGAGGCGAGCGAUAAAGGUAUGGUUAGUGAUUGGGGUGAAGUCGUAACAAGGUAAAC
Molecule: ribosomal RNA, 1475 nt
Filed under: uncultured bacterium
Lineage: Bacteria
Description: partial 16S ribosomal RNA
Rfam family: Bacterial small subunit ribosomal RNA
Source: RNAcentral